CCCAGGCGGCUGCCGAAGAUGGCGGAGGUGCAGGUUCUGGUGCUUGAUGGUGGAGGCCAUCUCCUGGGCCGCCUGGGGGCCAUCGUGGCUAAACAGGUACUGCGGGGCUGGAAGGUGGUGGUCGUACGCUGCGAAGGCAUCAACAUUUCUGGCAAUUUCUACAGAAACAAGUUGAAGUACCUGGCUUUCCUCUGCAAAUGGAUGAACACCAACCCUUCCCGAGGCCCCUACCACUUCCGGGCGCCCAGUAGCAUCUUCUGGCAGACAGCGCCAGGCAUGCUACCCCACAAGACCAAGCAAGGCCAGGCCGCCCUGGACCGCCUCAAGGUAUCUGACUGCAUCCCACCGCCCUACAACAAGAAAAAGCGGAUGGUGGUUCCUGCUGCCCUCAAGGUCGUGCGUCUGUUUGCCUACAAGAAAGUUUGCCUAUCUGGGGCGCUUGGCUCACGAGGUUGGCUGGAAGUACCAGGCAGUGACAGUCACCCUGGAGGAGAAGAGGAAGGAGAAAGCCAAGAUCCCGUACCGGAAGAAGAAACAGCUCAUGAGGCUACGGAAACAGGCCGAGAAGAACGUGGAGAAGAAAACUGACAAAUACACAGAGGUCCUCAAGACCCAUGGACUCCUGGUCUGAGCCCAAUAAAGACUGUUUA
Mandrillus leucophaeus (drill) is the source of this 650-nucleotide RNA transcript. It is a transcript of the gene named 60S ribosomal protein L13a pseudogene, with no coding region annotated. The record is from RefSeq and is a predicted model, not a curated record. NCBI's taxonomy places the organism in Eukaryota, Metazoa, Chordata, Mammalia, Primates, Cercopithecidae. The transcript has a single exon.